RNAcentral lists this ribosomal RNA (426 nucleotides) under uncultured bacterium. RNAcentral's name for it is "partial 16S ribosomal RNA". It matches the Rfam family "Bacterial small subunit ribosomal RNA", at positions 354 to 796 of the family's 1533-position model. The record is from RNAcentral.
GUUAGGAAUCUUCCACAAUGGGGGCAACCCUGAUGGAGCAACACCGCGUGCUGGAUGAAGGCCUUCGGGUCGUAAACAGCUUUUGUAUACGAAGAAUAUGACGGUAAUAUACGAAUAAGGGUCGGCUAACUACGUGCCAGCAGCCGCGGUCAUACGUAGGACCCAAGCGUUAUCCGGAGUGACUGGGCGUAAAGAGUUGCGUAGGCGGCUUAUUAAGCGAGUAGUGAAAUCUGGUGGCGCAACCAUCAACACAUUGCUCGAACUGAUAGGCUUGAGAAUGGUAGAGGUAGUUGGAAUUUCUUGUGUAGGAGUGAAAUCCGUAGAUAUAAGAAGGAACACCAAUGGCGUAGGCAGACUACUGGACCAUUUCUGACGCUGAGGCACGAAAGCGUGGGGAGCGAACCGGAUUAGAAACCCCAGUAGUCC